UAGUCAUCUAGCUUUUUACACACAUUCAGUAUACUUUUCUCCUGAACUUUUUCUCUUUUACUAUUUCUUUGUCUUUCACUUCCAGCAGUGUAUAAAAAUGAUGCUGUGGGGCGUCCAGCAGCAUCGCCCAACCACCCGCCUCACCUCAUCUCUCACUCUCCCCCACAAUCCUCCUCAUCAGAUCUCAGCUCAGGCAUUUAAUGAUUUAACUACAGGGAUAGAUGAUGGUAAUGAAGACGGCUCCUCACUGUCUACUCCUCAUGGGGUAACAUCAGAUGAUAAUCUGCUUCACAGCACAUGUGUCAGAUGGAAGGAAUGCUAAUCUGGAAGAGGUACGGCGCUUGGAGUUUUUGGCAGCCAGUUUCCACUAUGCACUUUCCAUGUGGUGUCGCUCCAGAGGCUCCGGGCAGGAGAAGUUAGUUUUGGGAACAGAGGUGUUGACGGAUCCCAGAUCGCCUCUCUAAACACGCCCGCAGCAAGGGUUAAGACACUGCUGGACAACUGACCUUAGCUUCACCUUAACCAGCAAUACCUGUACAGUUUCCAAGAGUACAUUACGUGAUCUGUAGCGCACGUUAACAAGAAAUACAAGCACACAGUGUGUUGUCCGUAACCUUGGGCUGAGCUUUGAAACUCAAACUAUAUUUCAUUUAAAUCAUCUGUCAGGCUGUUUAUAAUCGAGCCUCUCGUUCAUCAGCCUAGAGCGUACUGUAGGAUCUCAGUUUGUGAAUGAAGAUGCCCACUGUGCUAGACCCAUAUCUUCACACUGGAAAACGUUUUGUUUUGGUUCAUCUGAUGCUAUAUUUGUUAUUGUUUUUGAUUUCUCUCAUGCAUGUAGACUUUCACCCAUGACCAGGGCCGGAAAUUCCAGAAUUGAGAGGAAAAUCCGUCCCUGCCCAUAACUCAGAAUAAAAUGAAUAAUAAAGCCUGUAAAUGGUCUAAUCUGA
This is a non-coding RNA of Misgurnus anguillicaudatus (oriental weatherfish), 947 nucleotides long. Lineage: Eukaryota; Metazoa; Chordata; Actinopteri; Cypriniformes; Cobitidae. The record is from RefSeq and is a predicted model, not a curated record.